CACGUAGGCGGAUUGUUAAGUCGGGGGUGAAAUCCUGGAGCUCAACUCCAGAACUGCCUUCGAUACUGACGAUCUCGAGUUCGGGAGAGGUGAGUGGAACUGCGAGUGUAGAGGUGAAAUUCGUAGAUAUUCGCAAGAACACCAGUGGCGAAGGCGGCUCACUGGCCCGAUACUGACGCUGAGGUGCGAAAGCGUGGGGAGCAAACA
Molecule: ribosomal RNA, 207 nt
Filed under: uncultured bacterium
Lineage: Bacteria
Description: partial 16S ribosomal RNA
Rfam family: Bacterial small subunit ribosomal RNA
Source: RNAcentral